This 433-nucleotide ribosomal RNA is filed under the name uncultured bacterium. RNAcentral describes it as "partial 16S ribosomal RNA". It matches the Rfam family "Bacterial small subunit ribosomal RNA", at positions 30 to 507 of the family's 1533-position model. The record is from RNAcentral.
AGCGAACGCUGGCGGCAUGCUUAACACAUGCAAGUCGCACGGGCAGCAAUGGCAGUGGCGGACGGGUGAGUAACGCGUAGGAACGUGUCCUGAGGUGGGGGACAACCCCGGGAAACUGGGGCUAAUACGGCAUAUGGGCUGAUGCCCAAAGCCGAGAGGCGCCUUUGGAGCGGCCUGCGUCCGAUUAGGUAGUUGGUGGGGUAAAGGCCUACCAAGGCUGCGAUCGGGAGCUGGUCUGAGAGGACGCCCAGUCACACUGGGAAUGAGGCCCGGCCCAGAACGCGACGGGAGGGAGCAGUAGGGAAUAUUGGACAAUGGGCGAAAGCCUGAUCCAGCCAUGCCGGGUGGGUGGAGAAGGUCUUCGGAUCCUAAAGCCCUUUCGACCGGGACGAUGGUGACGGUACCCGUAGAAGAAGCCCCGGCUAACUUCGUG